GACGAACGCUGGCGGCGUGCUUAACACAUGCAGGUCGAACGGUGAACCUCUUCGGAGGGGAUUAGUGGCGAACGGGUGAGUAACACGUUGGCAACCUGCCCCCGUCUCUGUGAUAACUCCAAGAAAUUGGGGCUAAUACCGGAAGAUCACCGCUUCCCUCAUGGGUGGUGGUUGAAAGGUUUUCCGGCUGGGGAUGGGCCCGAGGCCUAGCAGCUUGUUGGUGGUGUAGUGGCCUACCAAUGCGGCGACGGGUAGCCGGCCUGAGAAGGUGACCGGCCACCAUGGUACUGAGGGACGGACCAGAAUCCUACGGGAGGCAGCGGUGGGGAAUAUUGCGGAAUGGGCGGAAGCCUGACGCAGCGACGCCGGGUGGGGGAUGACGGCCUUCGGGUUGUAAACCACUUUCAGCAGGGACGAAGACGAAGUGACGGUACCUGCAGAAGAAGCAACGGCCAACUACGUG
Molecule: ribosomal RNA, 463 nt
Filed under: uncultured bacterium
Lineage: Bacteria
Description: partial 16S ribosomal RNA
Rfam family: Bacterial small subunit ribosomal RNA
Source: RNAcentral